RNAcentral lists this ribosomal RNA (254 nucleotides) under uncultured bacterium. RNAcentral's name for it is "partial 16S ribosomal RNA". It matches the Rfam family "Bacterial small subunit ribosomal RNA", at positions 524 to 773 of the family's 1533-position model. The record is from RNAcentral.
UACGUAGGGUGCAAGCGUUUAAUCGGGAAUUACUGGGCGUAAAGCGUGCGCAGGCGGUUUUGUAAGGUCUGUCGUGAAAUCCCCGGGCUCAACCUGGGAAUUGCGAUGGAGACUGCAAGGCUAGAAUCUGGCAGAGGGGGGUAGAAUUCCACGUGUAGCAGUGAAAUGCGUAGAGAUGUGGAGGAACACCGAUGGCGAAGGCAGCCCCCUGGGUCAAGAUUGACGCUACAUGCACGAAAGCGUGGGGAGCAAAC